UCCCUGGUGGUCCAGGGGCUGAGACUCUGCACUCCUAAUGCAAGAUCCAGGGUUCAAUCCCUAGUCAGGGAA
RNAcentral lists this transfer RNA (72 nucleotides) under Bos taurus (domestic cattle). It matches the Rfam family "tRNA". From Rfam's summary of the family: Transfer RNA (tRNA) molecules are approximately 80 nucleotides in length. Their secondary structure includes four short double-helical elements and three loops (D, anti-codon, and T loops). The record is from Rfam by way of RNAcentral. Lineage: Eukaryota; Metazoa; Chordata; Mammalia; Artiodactyla; Bovidae. RNAcentral also lists the same sequence under 1 other name.